UCACAAACGAUAAGUGUGAGUCUCUUGGUAAUUCAUUCAUAUUAAUUUAAUCAGUUUAUUUAUAUGAAUGAAGUACCGAGAGAUUCGUACGUAUUGUUUGUCAGUC
Non-coding RNA from Brugia malayi, 106 nucleotides. The record is from RefSeq and is a predicted model, not a curated record. Lineage: Eukaryota; Metazoa; Nematoda; Chromadorea; Rhabditida; Onchocercidae.